This 118-nucleotide ribosomal RNA is filed under the name Diaphorina citri (Asian citrus psyllid). The record is from RNAcentral. Lineage: Eukaryota; Metazoa; Arthropoda; Insecta; Hemiptera; Psyllidae.
GUCAGCAGGGAUAGUACGUCGAAUACACCAGUUCCCGAUAGAUCGCUGAAGAUAAGGAACGUUGUGCGUAGUUAGUAUCCAGAUCGGUGUCCAUCUGGGCAAUCGUGUCCUGCUGGAU